GCCCGGGUGGCGGAAUGGUAGACGCGGGGGUCUCAAAAACCCCUGUCCGAAAGGAUGUGCGGGUUCGACUCCCGCCCCGGGUAC
Molecule: transfer RNA, 84 nt
Filed under: uncultured Conexibacteraceae bacterium
Lineage: Bacteria; Bacillati; Actinomycetota; Thermoleophilia; Solirubrobacterales; Conexibacteraceae
Description: tRNA-Leu
Rfam family: tRNA
About the family: Transfer RNA (tRNA) molecules are approximately 80 nucleotides in length.
Source: RNAcentral